Molecule: ribosomal RNA, 301 nt
Filed under: uncultured bacterium
Lineage: Bacteria
Description: partial 16S ribosomal RNA
Rfam family: Bacterial small subunit ribosomal RNA
Source: RNAcentral
CAGUCGCCGCGGGAAAACGGAGGGGGCUAGCGUUGUUCGGAAUUACUGGGCGUAAAGCGCACGCAGGCGGUCUGACAAGUCAGAUGUGAAAUCCCCGGGCUUAACCUGGGAACUGCAUUUGAAACUGUCAGGCUGGAGUCUUGUAGAGGGGGGUAGAAUUCCAGGUGUAGCGGUGAAAUGCGUAGAGAUCUGGAGGAAUACCGGUGGCGAAGGCGGCCCCCUGGACAAAGACUGACGCUCAGGUGCGAAAGCGUGGGGAGCAAACAGGAUUAGAGACCCCUGUAGUCCCUGUCUCUUAUAC